RNAcentral lists this ribosomal RNA (270 nucleotides) under uncultured bacterium. RNAcentral's name for it is "partial 16S ribosomal RNA". It matches the Rfam family "Bacterial small subunit ribosomal RNA", at positions 524 to 790 of the family's 1533-position model. The record is from RNAcentral.
UACAGAGGUGUCAAACGUUGUCCGGAAUUACUGGGCGUAAAGGGCGCGUAGGCGGUCCUAUAAGUCAGAUGUGAAAGCUCCGGGGCUCAACCCGGGAGUUAGCAUCUGAUACUGUAGGACUUGAGUUCGGUAGAGGAGGGCGGAAUUCCAGGUGUAGCGGUGAAAUAGCGUAGAUAUCUGGAGGAACACCCGUGGCGAAGGCGGCUCUCUGGUCCGAAACUGACGCUGAGGUGCGAAAGCUAGGGUAGCAAACAGGAUUAGAAACCCCGU